This 332-nucleotide ribosomal RNA is filed under the name uncultured bacterium. RNAcentral's name for it is "bacterial SSU rRNA". It matches the Rfam family "Bacterial small subunit ribosomal RNA", at positions 568 to 898 of the family's 1533-position model. The record is from RNAcentral.
UGUGCAGGCGGGUUAUCAAGUGGUGUAUGAAAUCGCCCGGCUCAACCGGGCCAGGGUAUGCCAGACUGAUAACCUGGAGUGCGGGAGAGGGGCGUGGAAUUCCGGGUGUAGUGGUGAAAUGCGUAGAGAUCCGGAGGAACCCCAGAGGCGAAGGCGGCGCCCUGGCCCGACACUGACGCUCAGACACGACAGCAUGGGGAGCGAACGGGAUUAGAAACCCCGGUAGUCCAUGCCGUAAACGAUGCCAACUAGGCGCCGGGGGACUCAACCCCCUCGGUGCCGUAGCCAACGCGCUAAGUUGGCCGCCUGGGGAGUACGACCGCAAGGUUAAA